Nomia melanderi (Alkali bee) is the source of this 440-nucleotide non-coding RNA. Lineage: Eukaryota; Metazoa; Arthropoda; Insecta; Hymenoptera; Halictidae. The record is from RefSeq and is a predicted model, not a curated record.
GGAAGGUGUCCGUUGUACGGUGCGAGGGUGUGCUUAAAAGUUUUAAAAGAAACAAGUUGCGUGUAAGUUUGUUUUAUACUGGAAAAGCUGUUUUGAUGAGCGUAAUGACCCGAGUUUCGAUGGAGUUGAGGAAGAUGGAUGACAGGUUUCCCCAUGUGGCGAAGAAGAGUUAUCACUAUUCAUUCACCGCCCCACCUACGGCCCAUCAAAGCAGCUGGAAAACAGGACGGCAUGGACUAGCCGCUCGGGUCGUGGAAACCCUUGGAAGGGAAAAGGGCAGCAGCAUCCCCUCCCUGCGGCCUGGUACCGUCGCGACGCACGACGACGCGGCACCGUCGCCACACCGCACCGACCUCUUCACCAUCGUCUUCUCAGCCGGAAGGCUGAUGUUUUUCUUCGUGGACCAGUAAAUAAAAGGCCUCAAAGUGUACGGCGCCGUG